This 460-nucleotide ribosomal RNA is filed under the name uncultured Planctomycetota bacterium. RNAcentral describes it as "bacterial SSU rRNA". It matches the Rfam family "Bacterial small subunit ribosomal RNA", at positions 381 to 831 of the family's 1533-position model. Lineage: Bacteria; Pseudomonadati; Planctomycetota. The record is from RNAcentral.
GGGUGACGAAGCGACGCCGCGUGUGGGAAGAAGGCCUUCGGGUUGUAAACCACUGUCGGGAGUUAGGAAAUGCAGGUGCGUUAAUAGCGCACUUGCUUGACUAAGGCUCCAGAGGAAGCCACGGCUAACUCUGUGCCAGCAGCCGCGGUAAUACAGAGGCGGCAAGCGUUGUUCGGAAUUAUUGGGCGUAAAGAGCACGUAGGCGGCCUUGCAAGUCAGUUGUGAAAGCCUUCCGCUUAACGGAAGAACGGCAUCUGAUACUACAGGGCUUGAGUACGGGAGGGGAGAGUGGAACUUCUGGUGGAGCGGUGAAAUGCGUAGAUAUCAGAAGGAACGCCGGCGGCGAAAGCGACUCUCUGGUCCGAAACUGACGCUGAGUGUGCGAAAGCUAGGGGAGCAAACGGGAUUAGAUACCCCGGUAGUCCUAGCCGUAAACGAUGGGCACUAAGUAGAGGGGUUU